RNAcentral lists this unclassified non-coding RNA (362 nucleotides) under uncultured fungus. Its description in RNAcentral is "sequence contains ITS1". The stretch from base 1 to 106 matches the Rfam family "5.8S ribosomal RNA", at positions 49 to 154 of the family's 154-position model. Lineage: Eukaryota; Fungi. The record is from RNAcentral.
UAAAGUGCGAUAAGUAAUGCGAAUCGCAUAUAUUCGUGAGUCAUCGAAUCUUUGAACGCAUGUUGCACUCUUUGGCAAUCCAGAGAGUAUGCCUGUUUGAGUGUCAUAAUGCCUAUAUUCUUCCCAUCUGUGGAUGGACCAGAAGAGACUUGAGAUUUCCCAGGCUUUACGGCCUGAAUCUUAAAUUCUAGGCAAAAGUUUGGCCUAAAUGCCUUUCAACUAGUGUGGUAAAAAGGGAAACCUUUACUCGUUUGUUGGAAUAAGCAUCAAGCCUAAAAUUUGCCCUAAAUUAUCUAUUUUACCGUAAUUAUUACGGUGAAACUAGUGACCUCAAAUCAGGCAAGACUACCCGCUGAACUUAA